UACGAAGGGGGCUAGUGUUGUUCGGAAUUACUGGGCGUAAAGCGCACGUAGGCGGAUUGUUAAGUGAGGGGUGAAAUCCCAGGGCUCAACCCUGGAACUGCCUUUCAUACUGGCAAUCUCGAGUCCGGAAGAGGUGAGUGGAAUUCCGAGUGUAGAGGUGAAAUUCGUAGAUAUUCGGAGGAACACCAGUGGCGAAGGCGGCUCACUGGUCCGGUACUGACGCUGAGGUGCGAAAGCGUGGGGAGCAAACAGG
RNAcentral lists this ribosomal RNA (253 nucleotides) under uncultured bacterium. RNAcentral's name for it is "partial 16S ribosomal RNA". It matches the Rfam family "Bacterial small subunit ribosomal RNA", at positions 524 to 776 of the family's 1533-position model. The record is from RNAcentral.